AAGACCUUACUUCGUAGGAUCAUUUCUAUAGUAAGUUCUGCAACCUGAUCGAAUUUAUUUAAACCUAGAUUAAUAAAUCUUUGGC
This is a small nucleolar RNA of Achroia grisella, 85 nucleotides long. RefSeq annotates it as small nucleolar RNA U3. Lineage: Eukaryota; Metazoa; Arthropoda; Insecta; Lepidoptera; Pyralidae. The record is from RefSeq and is a predicted model, not a curated record. The transcript has a single exon.